Molecule: long non-coding RNA, 1064 nt
Filed under: Ananas comosus (pineapple)
Lineage: Eukaryota; Viridiplantae; Streptophyta; Magnoliopsida; Poales; Bromeliaceae
Description: long non-coding RNA (ACOM_LNC038429)
Source: RNAcentral
GUCAAAUGUUUAUAUAAAAAAUUAAAGAUUUAGUAGAACAGAUAAAUUGGCAAGCUGAUCAGUUCUCUAAAAGUCUGAUUCACGUGAUGCGAUCGCAGCAGUAACGAAUAUCUAAUCAACCAAUUAAAUGAACAAAAAUAGAGGCUUUGUGGUAAAUUGUAAUGGAACCAUUAUUACGACGGUAAUUUCCAAUAUUUUUAAAGUUUAGGUAAUAAAUUUUGAAUUAGAUAGAGUUCAGGUGAUUCCCCUCCCCCCUUUUCGUUAUCAUAUCUAACUAUACGUAACAUGUUCAAAUCAUUAACUUUAAAGUUCGAUGCAGUACCCAAGAGUUGAUACUUAGAUAGCACCUAAGUGCUCUUAGCUCAUACAUAAAGAGCAUGUCAAAUAAUUCAUUCAUUACUUCUGAUCAAGUUCAUAAUAAUUUUAUAUAUAUGAGAUCUUAUAUAUAGAGUCCACACAUAGAGUAUAUAUACACAAGAAGUACGUAGCCACCACAUAAGCCACAUUAUUUAUUGUUAUCUAUCACUUGUGUUUUCUUACAUCGAUCAAGUGGCUUGAAUCUUAAAGCAACAUGGAGGGUGGUGAUCUCUAUCUCUUCUUAUAAGUUAUACACCAAAUUAUUAUUAUUAUUAUUAUUUCCCUAUACGUACUACAUGCAAGUGAUCCCUCUAAAACUUACGGAGGAGAUGGGCACCAAUCAUACUUUUUCUCCUCGCAAAACUGUCCAAUUGGUACAUAGCUCGUGCGCGUUGCUGGUUUUCCUUCAAUGUUCAUGUCCUUUCUCGUAAAUUUAAUUCCUUCGUCUUGCACAAUCGUAGGAUUUCGCAGUUUCUCGACGGUAUCGGUGGUUGCUUCAUGAACAACUUGAGUGCCCUCUCUUAUUGCCAUCACUGAGGUGGUCAUGAAAACAACUAACAGAAGAAGUGCGAAUACCUUCAUAAUUGCUUAACCUAGUCAUCAAACAUAUUUAACACUAUCAUAAUAGUAAAAAUCACAUAUAAAUAGAAAUAGAGAAGCUUAUGUUUGCAAACCUUUAAAGCCUAAACGAGCUGGUAAUUUGAGUU